GAUGAACGCUGGCGGCGUGCCUAAUACAUGCAAGUCGAGCGAACGGACGAGAAGCUUGCUUCUCUGAUGUUAGCGGCGGACGGGUGAGUAACACGUGGAUAACCUACCUAUAGACUGGGAUAACUUCGGGAAACCGGAGCUAAUGCCGGAUAAUAUUUUGAACCGCAUGGUUCAAAAGUGAAAGACGGUCUUGCUGUCACUUAUAGAUGGAUCCGCGCUGCAUUAGCUAGUUGGUAAGGUAACGGCUUACCAAGGCAACGAUGCAUAGCCGACCUGAGAGGGUGAUCGGCCACACUGGAACUGAGACACGGUCCAGACUCCUACGGGAGGCAGCAGUAGGGAAUCUUCCGCAAUGGGCGAAAGCCUGACGGAGCAACGCCGCGUGAGUGAUGAAGGUCUUCGGAUCGUAAAACUCUGUUAUUAGGGAAGAACAUAUGUGUAAGUAACUGUGCACAUCUUGACGGUACCUAAUCAGAAAGCCACGGCUAACUACGUG
This 496-nucleotide ribosomal RNA is filed under the name uncultured bacterium. Its description in RNAcentral is "partial 16S ribosomal RNA". It matches the Rfam family "Bacterial small subunit ribosomal RNA", at positions 28 to 507 of the family's 1533-position model. The record is from RNAcentral.